This 521-nucleotide ribosomal RNA is filed under the name uncultured bacterium. RNAcentral's name for it is "bacterial SSU rRNA". It matches the Rfam family "Bacterial small subunit ribosomal RNA", at positions 791 to 1314 of the family's 1533-position model. The record is from RNAcentral.
UAGUCCACGCCGUAAACGAUGAGUGCUAGCUGUUGGGACCUCAGGUCUCAGUGGCGCCGCUAACGCAUUAAGCACUCCGCCUGGGGAGUACGGUCGCAAGGUUAAAACUCAAAGGAAUUGACGGGGACCCGCACAAGCGGUGGAGCAUGUGGUUUAAUUCGAUGAUACGCGAGGAACCUUACCCGGGCUUAAAUGUAGAUUGCAUGUUUCAGAGAUGAACUUUCCUUCGGGACUAUCUACAAGGUGCUGCAUGGUUGUCGUCAGCUCGUGCCGUGAGGUGUCGGGUUAAGUCCCAUAACGAGCGCAACCCCUAUCGUUAGUUACCAUCAGGUUAUGCUGGGGACUCUAGCGAGACUGCCACCGUAAGGUGAGAGGAAGGUGGGGAUGACGUCAAAUCAGCACGGCCCUUAUGUCCGGGGCUACACACGUGCUACAAUGGCAGGUACAAUGGGUCGCCAACCCGCAAGGGGGAGCCGAAUCCCAAAAAUCCUGUCCCAGUUCGGAUUGGAGUCUGCAACUCG